This 497-nucleotide ribosomal RNA is filed under the name uncultured bacterium. RNAcentral's name for it is "partial 16S ribosomal RNA". It matches the Rfam family "Bacterial small subunit ribosomal RNA", at positions 28 to 507 of the family's 1533-position model. The record is from RNAcentral.
GAUGAACGCUGGCGGCGUGCCUAAUACAUGCAAGUCGAGCGAACAGACGAGGAGCUUGCUCCUCUGACGUUAGCGGCGGACGGGUGAGAAACACGUGGAUAACCUACCUAUAAGACUGGGAUAACUUCGGGAAACCGGAGCUAAUACCGGAUAAUAUAUUGAACCGCAUGGUUCAAUAGUGAAAGACGGUUUUGCUGUCACUUAUAGAUGGAUCCGCGCCGCAUUAGCUAGUUGGUAAGGUAACGGCUUACCAAGGCGACGAUGCGUAGCCGACCUGAGAGGGUGAUCGGCCACACUGGAACUGAGACACGGUCCAGACUCCUACGGGAGGCAGCAGUAGGGAAUCUUCCGCAAUGGGCGAAAGCCUGACGGAGCAACGCCGCGUGAGUGAUGAAGGUCUUCGGAUCGUAAAACUCUGUUAUUAGGGAAGAACAAAUGUGUAAGUAACUAUGCACGUCUUGACGGUACCUAAUCAGAAAGCCACGGCUAACUACGUG